AGUGAACGCUGGCGGUAGGCCUAACACAUGCAAGUCGAACGGCAGCACAGUAAGAGCUUGCUCUUACGGGUGGCGAGUGGCGGACGGGUGGGGAAUACAUCGGAAUCUACUUUUUCGUGGGGGAUAACGUAGGGAAACUUACGCUAAUACCGCAUACGACCUACGGGUGAAAGCAGGGGAUCUUCGGACCUUGCGCGAUUGAAUGAGCCGAUGUCGGAUUAGCUAGUUGGCGGGGUAAAGGCCCACCAAGGCGACGAUCCGUAGCUGGUCUGAGAGGAUGAUCAGCCAUACUGGAACUGAGACACGGUCCAGACUCCUACGGGAGGCAGCAGUGGGGAAUAUUGGACAAUGGGCGCAAGCCUGAUCCAGCCAUACCGCGUGGGUGAAGAAGGCCUUCGGGUUGUAAAGCCCUUUUGUUGGGAAAGAAAAGCAGCAGGUUAAUACCCCGCUGUUCUGACGGUACCCAAAGAAUAAGCACCGGCUAACUUCGUG
This 492-nucleotide ribosomal RNA is filed under the name uncultured bacterium. Its description in RNAcentral is "partial 16S ribosomal RNA". It matches the Rfam family "Bacterial small subunit ribosomal RNA", at positions 29 to 507 of the family's 1533-position model. The record is from RNAcentral.